RNAcentral lists this unclassified non-coding RNA (20 nucleotides) under Mus musculus (house mouse). RNAcentral's name for it is "oocyte_clustered_small_RNA6045". The record is from RNAcentral. Lineage: Eukaryota; Metazoa; Chordata; Mammalia; Rodentia; Muridae.
CACAAACACAUCAGUAGUAA